Molecule: unclassified non-coding RNA, 499 nt
Filed under: uncultured Glomus
Lineage: Eukaryota; Fungi; Glomeromycota; Glomeromycetes; Glomerales; Glomeraceae
Description: SSU rRNA
Rfam family: Eukaryotic small subunit ribosomal RNA
Source: RNAcentral
CCAAUAGCGUAUAUUAAAGUUGUUGCAGUUAAAAAGCUCGUAGUUGAAUUUCGGGAUCAAUAUUUCGGUCAUGCCGUUGGUAUGCACUGUUAUCAUUGAUUUCUCACCUUCUAAAGAACCGUAAUGCCAUUAAUUUGGUGUUACGGGGAAUUAGGACUGUUACCUUGAAAAAAUUAGAGUGUUUAAAGCAGGCUCACGCUUGAAUACAUUAGCAUGGAAUAAUGAAAUAGGACAUCCGAUUCUAUUUUGUUGGUUUCUAGGAUCGAUGUAAUGAUUAAUAGGGAUAGUUGGGGGAAUUAGUAUUCAAUUGUCAGAGGUGAAAUUCUUGGAUUUAUUGAAGACUAACUACUGCGAAAGCAUUUGCCAAAGAUGUUUUCAUUAAUCAGUGAACGAAAGUUAGUGGAUCGAAGACGAUCAGAUACCGUCGUAGUCUUAACCAUAAACGAUGCCAACCAGUAAUUCGCCUGAGUUCCUUAAAUGACUCGGCGAGGGACUUCCG